Molecule: transfer RNA, 360 nt
Filed under: uncultured Microcystis sp.
Lineage: Bacteria; Bacillati; Cyanobacteriota; Cyanophyceae; Chroococcales; Microcystaceae
Description: partial 16S-23S ribosomal RNA intergenic spacer
Rfam family: tRNA (bases 135-208)
Source: RNAcentral
AAAGGGAGACCUAAUUCAGGUAGGAGACGAAAAAAAGUAGUCCCUACCAAGAAUCAAUCCCAAAAGGUCGGAGCGAGGCAAAAUUGGCUUUCAAACUAGGUUCUGGGUUCACAUAAGACCUGAAUCAGGAACAAGGGCUAUUAGCUCAGGUGGUUAGAGCGCACCCCUGAUAAGGGUGAGGUCCCUGGUUCGAGUCCAGGAUGGCCCACCUGCACAGGUGGCAAAAACAAGAGAAGCGAGGAAUCAGCACCUUAUCCUAAUUUAUAUAUAGGAGAGAAUGCUGGCUCUGAGUAAAGAGUCCAGAGGAACCUUGAAAACUGCAUAGAGCUAGGUGAAAAAGCCAAAAAAGAAGACCGCAAG